UGAGUGGUAUUUGGUUUGUUACGGGUGGUUGGCUCUUUGCUUGCGCAACAACUAUCACCCGGCUUACCUCUUCAGUUGCUUGUCAAUGCUUGUAAAGUAUUGGAUUGAUUGUGGGUUUCUUGUGUUGCAUACCAAAUUGAUGGAAUCGUUUCGUAAAAUAAUAUUUUGUUUUCAUCUUGCGCUGCACAUGUGGUGCGAGAUGAACCUUGAAGCGUUCUUCUUGAUCCACUCUUUKAACGUUGCGUUMCUUUUGUGGCUCAUUUAGAGUUGCUUGGUCUCAUGGAUAUGGAACCUGAKGUGGGCAUGGGAUGUUUAAACAUCCUUUCGUU
RNAcentral lists this unclassified non-coding RNA (329 nucleotides) under Athrixia capensis. Its description in RNAcentral is "partial contains external transcribed spacer and 18S ribosomal RNA". Lineage: Eukaryota; Viridiplantae; Streptophyta; Magnoliopsida; Asterales; Asteraceae. The record is from RNAcentral.